CUCCCAGCGCAUCAGAUGACUACCCUUUCUCCUCCCCCGCAUGCCGGCGGGACGCCACGUCACUCGUCCUCCAUCAGCACUGUCAAGGACUUUAGGCCGGACGAUCGUCCCUUGCUCUCUUUCAUUGCCCUGAGCGCGGCCCAGAGCUCUAUGGCCCGCUCCGCCGAGGUUGUCUUGGAUGCGGCGCUGAUGCCCCCCACGACGCCGUCGCCAUCGGCGUCUCUAGUUUCAUCGGUCGACGAAACCAGCAGCGCUGACAGCUUAAGUGCCCGAUACCCCGAAGUGCGCGUACUGCUUCAUUUGCACUACUUGCGGUGUGCGCUCCGCGAUCUACAGGAGUGCCCCGCACACGCACGUCGAACGUUUUUCUCCAUCAUCCAUGAGCACCUCGCCGCCUUAGCGCUGGUACUGCCGGAACCACUCUUCACCGCCAUCGCUGCAGUGCUUCAGCGCUUCCUGGCCAUGAGCACCGACGAGGCCCUCGCCAAGGACCGCUGUCACGUGCUGGAGGUGCAGCUGAUGCACAUUGUGGAGGCAACGCAGACGGAGCUGCUGCGCGCCACUAAGCAGCUGAGUAUGCGAGCCGGAGUCAUGACACUUCGCUUUCACCACGACAUCCCCUACCUGUGAGCGAGGGGACUCUCCCUGCGCCUCGUCCGGCACAGACAUGCACACCCCACGAAAGAGCGCCCCAUGAGCGUCGUCGGGGUGAUCAGAGGCUGGCGGGAAGACGUGUUUCUUCCUUUUUUUCGGGGGUGGGGGUUGCACUGCUUCCUGGUUCUGUCUCUUUCUGUCUACGCCACUCUCUCUCUCUUGUAAAGCCUCCUACGUGACGGAGGCGCGUGGGUCGCGGUGUAUGAUGGGCACAGCCAGAGCCACCAAUAGAGAAACUAAAAGGCAAAGCCCUGAAGGGCCACAGCGAAGAAAAUGCUGUCCGCGUGUGAGCGGAAAUCAUUUCUUAUGCACAGCGGUGGUGGUAGCAGGGGCCUGCUCAUCCCCCUCGCUUUUCUUUUCGCCUCUCGUGUGACCCUUCAUGGAUCUCUGAUCGCGUCGUGCAUGCAUCUCCUGCAUGCGCAGUCGUACCAAAUCGCUCCCCCUCUCUCCUUUUUCCUACUCGCUUGUUGCUGCGGGACCGCCUCCGGGUUUAUAACUGGCUGGGUGCCUUUGGCCUGCUGAUCUUCGUUUGGGUGUGCUUGUACGGCCGCCGCGUUUUUUUUUUUCGUGCCUUCCACGCUGUCACGCGCACCAUUGCGUCCAAACACAG
RNAcentral lists this unclassified non-coding RNA (1264 nucleotides) under Leishmania donovani. RNAcentral describes it as "gene:LdHU3.30.4010(CDS-product:hypothetical_prote in_conserved)". Lineage: Eukaryota; Euglenozoa; Kinetoplastea; Trypanosomatida; Trypanosomatidae. The record is from RNAcentral.